GUUUUGCCUUCCCGCAACUUUAAGAUCAAGGCGGAAUAUCUACCGGGGAUCAACAACCUCACGGCAGACCAGUUCUCCCGUCACUGAUGAGACGGCAGCGACUGGCGUCUGGUCACAUUAGUAUUCUCUUUGGUGAGAGCACACAGCACCAUUGGGGAGAAGUCCAGCAUCGUUCCAGGACUUGUUGACCCUAGCUCAGGAUCACCUUCUGCUCCUCCCAUCAUUUCCUCUUCUUCUGACAGACCCGAAAGGGAACCGCAUCCACUGAUCCUACAGGAACACCUGGAGUUAGUGGCCUGGAGUCUUUCAGGGGUACUUGGACCGUCGAGGGACUAUCACAGCCAACUAGAGACCUAUUAUGGGACUCAUGGGCACCAGGUACACGACAGAGUCACAUAUCAGCAUGGAAUAUUUGGAGGUGCUGGUGUAUGAGAAGGGAUUUUGAUCCCUUUACAGUACCUAUUACCACGAUGAAUUUCUUAUCUCACCUUUUCACGAAAGACCGAUCGUUACGGUCCAUUAACGUUACACGUUCUGCGAUUUUCGGCCAAACUCACAUUACUUUUAUAUCUAGUAUCCUUUUAGACAAGUUUCGGACAUUUGGCAUUCGACGAGGAUGGUUUCUCGAUUUCCCGGGAGGAGCGACCUUCAUGGUGUCCCAUAGAACUAAAACGGAGUCUAAAUCCGUGUCUUAGCUCUUUUUUCCUACGGUACCCAUCUGGGUGUAGUGAUCGCUCUUACUUGAUAUGGGGAGGUCACUACAACCCUUAUUUUUUCACGAUGCGUAUAACUUAUGGUCUCUUAUAUCAAACCUUGCAUAUCAGUUGCCACUACCACUCUGGCUAGAUUGGUUUUGUUGAUUUUUAUCUCUGCUCGGGGGAGACAUGUUUUGGGGCUCACUCAGGUCGAAGCACCGCCGCUUUUCGGGCGCUCUCAGCGGGAAUUUUUUCUAUCCGAUAUUAUACGUUCGGCAAAUAAGACGCGGGAAGACACUUUCUGCAUAUUUUACUUUUCGUCAGACUACAC
This is a non-coding RNA of Pelobates cultripes (western spadefoot toad), 1026 nucleotides long. Lineage: Eukaryota; Metazoa; Chordata; Amphibia; Anura; Pelobatidae. The record is from the annotation of a GenBank genome assembly.